CACUAAGGUUUCUGCUCACUGUGACCUUGAAUUGCACUCUGUCCCCUCCCCUGACCUCUGGCUUUCUCUGCACAGUUUCAGUCCAACCUUCCUGAGAUAGAAGGUGUGAUUGGCUAUGUCAGUCACCCUUCAGUAGAGAUCAUCCCUGACCAGUGUGUGGCUUUGUGCACACUAGUCCUUCUUGGCCUGGGUGCCUGGCCUAGACUGCACAGCUGUGACUACACAAUGGGGAGCAGAGCAGCCCACAUCUCCCCCUCAGAAGGGCACUGGGGAGUGGCAGCCUUCUGAAGCUGGCACCUCGUAACCACAGGCCCUGCCUGGAGCUUCCCCGGUCAGUCCAGGAGGUGAGCACCUGGAUGAGGGAUGGACAGUGAGCCCAGGGUCAGCCAACGUGUCCUGUCCAUCAGUCCCUGUGCCAUCAGCUCAUUUGUGUUCCUCUGUGCACUGGCACCAGGAAUAAAUGUGAAGAGAGUGUUGGAACCAGUUGAGAAUCCAUGUCCAGGUACCAGCUGGACCAUGUUACGCCUGUGUGGCUGGGGACCAGGGAGAUGGCAUAUCAGAGUGGGUAAAAGAACAGACCGGAGCCUGACUUCCUGGAUUCAAACCUCAGUCUCACCAACCAUUUCCCUCCAGGAACAGGCUGAUCACAGGUGGGGAACACACCUACAAAGUGUCCAUCACAGCUGACAAAGGAAUGGAACAGUAAAAGACCCUGGAGUCCAUCAGGACUGAAGUAAACCCCCUCCUUACUCCCCAUUUUGCCUAUAUCUUCCUCAAGAUUCUGCAGUCCUUGAAGAUGGGUUUUUGAGACAUUAGUCUUCCAUCUUCCUGAUUGUGACAGCUAAUUGAAUUAAAUCUUCCUUUCUUGAUCCCUAAUUCGUUGUGAUUAAUUGACUUCUCUGGAGUGAUGUUAUAGGCCAGUCUCUGUGAGAGGAUGGAGAAUUGGAGGAAGCCUCAGCCUGGUCCAGGGUCACCCUUCCAGUGGCCGAGAAGAUACUCCAAAGUAAGGGUCACCUGCUAUUUGGUCCUGAAGUCCCACAUGGACAGCAUGUGAGAAUGUGAACUCCAGGAAGUGUUGCCUAGUGCUGAGAAUACUGCACGGCCCAUACGGGUUCUCGACUGGCCCAGUGCUCACCUCUUGAAGGGAACUUCAUGUGCUGUAGAACUUGUAGACAACGUAGGCUGGCACCAGAGCCAUGGAGGAGAACGUGAUGCCCCACCCAACCUGGUUGUCCCAGAGUGGGAAGAUGUAGUCAUUACAGCAGGAGGAAGGAAGAAUUUCUUUCUGUCCUUCAACAAGCCCAGCCAAUGGAAAAUACCACAGCUCAGCAAAUGAGAAACCAUCAUCACCCUGGACUCUUACCCUCCUCCAAGGAACUUUCACAGAACAGCCCUCUCUACUCCCCUUUUUUCUCUUUAAAAGCACAAUCCCCUUCUCUGUUCUCCGGCCUUGCCGGUGGUUUUUGCCAUAGCUUGCUUGUCCCAAACUGAAUUCCUCUGGCUAUUCCUGAAUAAACUCAAUCUGCUGCUG
This 1531-nucleotide long non-coding RNA is filed under the name Equus caballus (horse). RNAcentral describes it as "lncRNA (ENSECAG00000033260.2)". The record is from RNAcentral. Lineage: Eukaryota; Metazoa; Chordata; Mammalia; Perissodactyla; Equidae.